CCUACGGGAGGCAGCAGUGGGGAAUAUUGGGCAAUGGGCGCAAGCCUGACCCAGCAACGCCGCGUGAGGGAAGAAGGCUUUCGGGUUGUAAACUUCUUUUAUCAGGGACGAAGCAAGUGACGGUACCUGAUGAAUAAGCCACGGCUAACUACGUGCCAGCAGCCGCGGUAUACGUAGGUGGCAAGCGGUAGCCGGGUUUACUGGGUGUAAAGGGCGGGUAGGCGGGAGUGCAAGUCUGAUGUGAAAACUAGGGGCUCAACCCCUGGCCUGCAUUUGGAACUGUAUUUCUUGAGUGCAGGAGAGGCAAGUGGAAUUCCGAGUGUAGCGGUGAAAUGCGUAGAUAUACGGAGGAACACCAGUGGCGAAGGCGGAUUGCUGGACAGUAACUGACGCUGAGGCGCGAAAGCGUGGGGAGCAAACAGGAUUAGAUACCCGUGUAGUC
RNAcentral lists this ribosomal RNA (442 nucleotides) under uncultured bacterium. Its description in RNAcentral is "partial 16S ribosomal RNA". It matches the Rfam family "Bacterial small subunit ribosomal RNA", at positions 338 to 795 of the family's 1533-position model. The record is from RNAcentral.